This 4020-nucleotide long non-coding RNA is filed under the name Heterocephalus glaber (naked mole-rat). RNAcentral's name for it is "lncRNA (ENSHGLG00000043067.1)". The record is from RNAcentral. Lineage: Eukaryota; Metazoa; Chordata; Mammalia; Rodentia; Bathyergidae.
CCCCACCCCCCGCUCCCGCGGCCUCACUAGGCGGACGCGGCCGGGCGCAGGGACCGGCGGCUGCUCAUUGGCUGCUGCGGAGGAGGGGAGGGGCGCGGAGCGGGUGAGGAGGGAGGGGGCGACGGGCCUUGAGGACGGGGCGAGGGGAGAGAGUGCCCGAGAGGGCAGCGGCGCGGAGAGGACGCGGGGUCCCGCAGCCCCGCGGCCUGGAGGGUGGAGGGGCCGGCGGCGGAGCUCGAGGGGCAGAGCCGGAGCUGAGGCCCCAGCCCCCACGCUGAGGCUGGGCUCGGAGGCCGGGCGAGUGCAGAGGUCAGGGAGCCGGACGCACGGAACGCGCAGAGCCCGCGGGUCGACGGGCGCGGGGUCCCGGACACCUUGAGCCCGGGGAGGUGCGGCAGGGGGGAAGGGGGCAGAGGCGGAGACCCUGGGAGGGAGCGGCAGCGGGGGUCCCCAGGGGCAGGAGCUCUGGCCGGGCCGGGGUCCCAGCGGCGGGCGGGCGCAGAGCGGAGCCGGGUCCUGCAGCCGCCGCGGAGCCGGAGCCGGGCCAGCCCCCCCGCCGUGAUGUCAGCGGGGCCACUCUUAAAGGGGCCGGCCGCCCGCCGCGGGUCGGAGCGGGGCCUGCGGGCACGGGGCGGUGCAGCGGGCGGGGCGGGAGGCAGGGGAGCUCGGCAUCCACUUGGGCAGGGCUCCGAAGCCCGGGAGCCUGCAGGCAAGAAGAGACGCCGGACCCUCAGGAGAACCUGCGAGGCUCUGGGGCUGAGCCCCCCCCCACCGGCGGGCACUACACCGCGGGCCUGCCCAGUCUGAGGACUACAUUCCCCGUCAGCCCCCGCGGCCAGGGGCUGCACCUGGGGGAAGGGGCUGCCAUGAUGGCCGCUGGGAAACGUAGUCCAUCUGCACGGGUCCCGCCACUCUCCCGACUCGCAAGUGGGUCAAGAGAGAAGAGGCGGGAGGAUGCGCCUGCCUGUUGCCUGGCUGGCUGCCGCCGAGAGCCCCGGCCCUGGUUCCCUGAGCUCUUCCGUCCUGGGGCCUCUCCCUUUGGCCCAGUGUCCUUUCACAGGACUCCUCCGACCUCUGGGUCUCAAGGGCGGCUAUGAGAGUGGAGCGAGGGAGGUCAGAGACUCAAACUUCCACCAUCGUCGGACCGUGACCAGGACCAACUGCUGACCCCGACAGCUCCGGAGGGCAGACCACACCACCAAGCCCCCAUCGCCCCAGCCUUCCGCCUCCAGGCCUCAUCCUGCACCUCGCUGCUCCCUGGCCCUCUUUGUCUGCAAGUGCCUUCUCCACAUUAGCUCAGCGGCCCCUUCUUCUGGGGCAAGGGAGGCUCCUGAGGGCAGAGGUUCGUAAUUUGAAGUUCAGCUGGUCCGUGGCCACCACCGAGGGGGCUGUGCAACAGGAUGGGAAAACUGGCAUCUUACUUAGCUCGGUGCCAGCUGAAGGUCAGAUUUCCCCCGAUUAAGAAUGCAGGCAGGGCCAGGGAUUUAGCUCCAUGGUUUGGCCGCCUGCUGUGCAAGCGCAAGUACCUGAGUUCAAUCCCGGGUACCAAAGAAAAAAAGAAUGCAGGCAACAAACUGCCACAGCUGCACUUGCAUCUUUACCACCAAUAGCAGCCACAGGUAUUUCCAAUUAUCGCUCCUGCCUCACACUCACUGCAAGACCUUCCUUUUUAUUUUGUAUUACUGUGAGAGCACAUAAGAACCUGAACAUGUUCCCAUAUUCCAACUUCUAAUAUUUAGAUAGCUUAUAUAUUUAAUUUAAUUAGGUUAGACUAAUUGGACUUUAAGUUUUGGUAACUAUAUUUCUUUUUUUCUUUUUUUGGUAUCGGGAUUGAACUCGGGACCUUGCGCUUGUGAGGCAGGCGCCUGAACCACUGAGCUAGAUCCCCGGCCCCUGUUAACUAUAUUCCAAUGGCUGCUUGCUUGCUUGCUUGCUUUCUUUUUUUGGUACAGGGAACGAACUAUCAAUGAUUGCUUUCUUUUGUCACCUAUUUUAUUUCGUGAACAUGAAAAUAUUAUUUUGGGAAGGAGUUCAUAGGUUUGGCCAGACCACUAGCAACAGAUUGAGAACCCUGGGCCCGUGCAGCAAAAUAAGGCUUCAGAACCUCGGACAGCGGCGCCCAGCCCACCUCGGCGGCCCGGGAGAACUAUGGGCCCCUCCUGGCCCCGCCGUUCCCGACCCAGGGCUCCCUCCGCAGCCAGCACCUCCCCGUCCACCCCACCGUCCUUACCUGCCCUGCCAACAUUUCGUAGAGCAGCACCCGGAAGGACCACCAAUCGACGGACUUCCCAUAGGGCUGGUAGGCAAUGAUCUGAGGAGAGGGCAUGGCCAGGAGUGACCAUCUUCCCCAGGAACCCGGCUCUCGGGCCUCACACCCAGGACACCCACCGCAAGUGCUUUCCACGCAAGCUCCUCCCACUCUGAACAUUUCGUCUAGAGCUCCGCCCUUUGGAAAAUUCAGGAAACAAAGUUUACCUACAUAGAAUGUUUCGUGUUUUGUUUGGCUUGGAUUUUGGUACUGGAGAUUGAACUCGGGACCUUGCACUUUAGAGGCAGGCGGCGGAACCACUGAGCUAAAUCCCUGGCCCUGAACGUUUCUUUAUUCUCAGAUAUAAAAGCUAUUUAAGGUCUGAGUCACAAGUUCCACCCACUUAGGAUCUUUUUGUAACUGGACCUUCCCUUCCAGUUGGGCCUGGGGCUACAUCUCAGAGACCAGAGAUUCUUAAACCUGAACCAACAGCAGGGUCAUUGAAGGACUUUUAUUUUUAUUUAUUCAUUUUUAAAUUUUAUUUUAUUUGGUACCAGGAACUGAGCUCAGGACCUUGCACUUUCGAGGCAGGUGGCAGAACCACUGAGCUAAAUCCCUGGCUUCAGGACUUUUAUUUUUAGACAAGGUCUUGCUAUGUAGUUCAGACUGGCCUAGAACUUGUGGUGACCCUCCUGCCUCAGCCUCCUGGGUGCUCUGAUUACAGGUGUGUGCCACCACACCUGGCUAGUUUUUUUUUCAUCAAAGGACUUUUUGAAAAAUAGAUGUUCCCAUUCCUGAAGAGUCCUGGGUUCCAUAAGCCAGAGUUACAGUCAGAAAAAUAUGUAUCAUUUUCUAAGUUUCUGAAGGUGAUUCUCUUACCAGUUUUACAACCACUGACACUGAUUAUUUGGGCACUUGCAUCAACCAACUAAGAAGACUGAGGGCCAACAUCCCCAUACAACUUGCUGUCCAACUUAGGAAGUCAGGAACACACACCACCCAUCUCCAGGUACAGUCAGACACCAGCCCCAGCUCUGCAAUGUCAGAGCGAUUCUCUGCCCAACCCCUGGAAACACUCAAGGGAUGACACCUACCACCAGGAUUCUGCGGGUCCCGGCCCAGCCCUCCUGGAAUGGCAGAGAUGAAUACACCAUGUGCCUGCUGCAGGCCUGGGCUCCACCCCCAGACACACGCACAUGCACACGCAUGCACACACACUGUUAUGGUUUCCAUCUAGAUGUUCCCCAAAGCCUCAUGCAGUCAGGGCUUUUUCAGAGCUGGCUGAAUCUAGAGUGUGUGAUGCUGGGAUUAAGGGUAUUGAUUACUUAGACUUAGUCCACUGACUGGUUUGGUACCACCCUAAUCCCGGUGGUCUGGUCAAGAUAAAGGGGCAGGAAGACACUGCUAAGGUCCCUUGUUGCUUUGCUACCUUCAGUCUGCCAAGAACUGAUGCCCCUCUGCCAUGUGCCACCCUACCUUGGAGCCAGCUGAUUAUGGACUGCAACCUCUACAAACUGCGAGCUAAAUAAACCUUUCUCCUUUAACUUUGGGAGUCAAGUAUCUUGUCUCUGCAACAAGAAAAGUAACCAGGACACACACACACACACACACACACACACACACACACACGGAACCACGCGCAACACUUAUCAGGGAGCUCUGGUGCAACUGAUUACUCAAGGUGAGCUCCACGCAGCUAGCAUCCACAGGACACAGCCUCCAGCCUCCACAUGUGGGCGCAGUGUUCUCAGGGACAGGUGCCCCCAGAGUGC